GUAGGUGACAAGCGUUGUCCGGAAUUAUUGGGCGUAAAGCGCGCGCAGGCGGUUCUUUAAGUCUGAUGUGAAAGCCCACGGCUCAACCGUGGAGGGUCAUUGGAAACUGGAGAACUUGAGUACAGAAGAGGAAAGCGGAAUUCCACGUGUAGCGGUGAAAUGCGUAGAGAUGUGGAGGAACACCAGUGGCGAAGGCGGCUUUCUGGUCUGUAACUGACGCUGAGGCGCGAAAGCGUGGGGAGCAAACAGGAUUAGAUACCCUGGUAGUCCACGCCGUAAACGAUGAGUGCUAAGUGUUAGGGGGGUUUCCGCCCCCCUUAGUGCUGCAGCUAACGCAUUAAGCACUCCGCCUGGGAGUACGGCCGCAAGGCUG
Molecule: ribosomal RNA, 373 nt
Filed under: uncultured organism
Description: partial 16S ribosomal RNA
Rfam family: Bacterial small subunit ribosomal RNA
Source: RNAcentral